RNAcentral lists this unclassified non-coding RNA (366 nucleotides) under Hevea brasiliensis (rubber tree). The record is from RNAcentral. Lineage: Eukaryota; Viridiplantae; Streptophyta; Magnoliopsida; Malpighiales; Euphorbiaceae.
UGGCUUGGAAUAUUGGAUCUAAUGAUGUGGCAAAUGCCAUGGGAACUUCUGUUGGUUCAGGGGCGUUGAGUCUCCGACAAGCCGUUGUCAUGGCUGGUGUUCUUGAAUUUUCAGGGGCACUGUUAAUGGGAACACAUGUUACUAAUACAAUGCAGAAGGGUAUUCUUGUGGCUAAUGUUUUCCAAGGAAAAGAUACUUUACUAUUUGCUGGUCUGCUUUCUUCCUUGGCUGCUGCAGGGACAUGGUUGCAGGUGCAUUCCCUUUAGUAUAGACUACUGAUGAAUAUGCUUUUAAAUAGAGUUAGUAGCAAGUACCUUUUACAAGUAACAUAAUUGUGUAUAUUUCACAUAUACCACAAGUAUAUAG